This 490-nucleotide ribosomal RNA is filed under the name uncultured bacterium. RNAcentral's name for it is "partial 16S ribosomal RNA". It matches the Rfam family "Bacterial small subunit ribosomal RNA", at positions 30 to 507 of the family's 1533-position model. The record is from RNAcentral.
AUUGAACGCUGGCGGCAGGCCUAACACAUGCAAGUCGAACGGUAACAGGAAGAAGCUUGCUUCUUUGCUGACGAGUGGCGGACGGGUGAGUAAUGUCUGGGAAACUGCCUGAUGGAGGGGGAUAACUACUGGAAACGGUAGCUAAUACCGCAUAACGUCGCAAGACCAAAGAGGGGGACCUUCGGGCCUCUUGCCAUCGGAUGUGCCCAGAUGGGAUUAGCUAGUAGGUGGGGUAACGGCUCACCUAGGCGACGAUCCCUAGCUGGUCUGAGAGGAUGACCCGCCACACCUGAACUUGGACCCGGUCCCAACUCCUACGGGAGGCCACAGUGGGGAAUAUUGCACAAUGGGCGCAAGCCUGAUGCAGCCAUGCCGCGUGUAUGAAGAAGGCCUUCGGGUUGUAAAGUACUUUCAGCGGGGAGGAAGGGAGUAAAGUUAAUACCUUUGCUCAUUGACGUUACCCGCAGAAGAAGCACCGGCUAACUCCGUG